Molecule: non-coding RNA, 468 nt
Organism: Camellia sinensis
Lineage: Eukaryota; Viridiplantae; Streptophyta; Magnoliopsida; Ericales; Theaceae
Source: RefSeq, a predicted model, not a curated record
UACUUGUUUGGAGCUGCUGCACUAUUUUGUUACUGAUGAGAUGUGCUUUGGUGCCCCCUUUUUUUUGUGUGGCUUUUUUGGUCUGCACCAGACAACGUUGAUCUGGGAACAGCAUGUGGAAAGUAUUUCCGCGUGUCAUGCCUUAGCAUUAUUGAUCCAGGCGAUUCAGACAUCAUCAAGACACUGCCCGGGGAUCAGUGAGAGAAUUUCAUCUUUUAGUGUAUUUUCUGUCUUCAAACAAGUAGGGUCGUGUUUUCUUAGGAUUGUGUUAGUUGAAAGUGCUGGAUCCUUUACUGUGCACUUAUUUUAGCAAGUUAUUUCAAUUUAAUGAGUGUACCAUUUAUAUCUAAUUGUAGUGUUUUAUUUUUAAACGUAAAAAGCUUUGAGUCGCUAUAAUAGUGUUUAAUCAGUGAAUUGAGAUAUAUUAUUAUUGUUAGAUUCCAAAAUUGUUUCUCUCCUGCCUCUAAA